Molecule: ribosomal RNA, 450 nt
Filed under: uncultured bacterium
Lineage: Bacteria
Description: bacterial SSU rRNA
Rfam family: Bacterial small subunit ribosomal RNA
Source: RNAcentral
GUGGGGAAUAUUGGACAAUGGGCGAAAGCCUGAUCCAGCCAUGCCGCGUGUGUGAAGAAGGUCUUCGGAUUGUAAAGCACUUUAAGUUGGGAGGAAGGGCAGUAAGUUAAUACCUUGCUGUUUUGACGUUACCGACAGAAUAAGCACCGGCUAACUUCGUGCCAGCAGCCGCGGUAAUACGAAGGGUGCAAGCGUUAAUCGGAAUUACUGGGCGUAAAGCGCGCGCAGGUGGUUCAGCAAGUUGGAGGUGAAAUCCCCGGGCUCAACCUGGGAACUGCCUCCAAAACUGCAUGACUAGAGUACGGUAGAGGGUAGUGGAAUUUCCUGUGUAGCGGUGAAAUGCGUAGAUAUAGGAAGGAACACCAGUGGCGAAGGCGACUACCUGGACUGAUACUGACACUGAGGUGCGAAAGCGUGGGGAGCAAACAGGAUUAGAUACCCCUGUAGUCC